RNA transcript from Folsomia candida, 2410 nucleotides. It is a transcript of the gene named protein extra-macrochaetae, with no coding region annotated. The record is from RefSeq and is a predicted model, not a curated record. The transcript is spliced from 4 exons. Lineage: Eukaryota; Metazoa; Arthropoda; Collembola; Entomobryomorpha; Isotomidae.
ACCCUCUGGUACUCAGACUCAGUCGAGUUGCACCCUUGCUCUCAUACAGACGCGCACAAAACUCUCUCUCCGUCUCGCUACCAACCCCCAGCAGAAGUGGUAACAGCGUAAAUAAAGCGACUUAUUAACCAACUGCACCUCAGUGAAACCACCUCAGUUAGUUCGUUAACAACCUCGAGGCAACACAUCCAUCCGCGUGUCGAAUAAUCUAAGAGUUGAAAGAACCAGUUGAUAAUUCUCAAAACUUUUGUGACAGUUGAUCCAGUUUUCGUUGGAACUUUGUGAAAUAUUCGAGUUGAUUAUUAAGUGAUUUUUGUGAAACCAGGAAUAAUAAACAUGAAGGCAACAGUAGAAUCCAGUGGGAACAACAUGCACCUGAACGGUCUUCGUGGCCAGGAUGGGAAAAUUCAUAAGAAACAUCACCACAAGGAGGAGGAAAACGAGGAAAUCAAGGCUUAUUUGACUAAGCUGCAAGAACUUGUUCCUUUCAUGCCAAAAAACAGAAAGUUGUCGAAAUUGGAAGUAAUAACGUACGUGAUUGACUACAUUCGGGACUUAAGACAAACGCUUGGGCUUCCUCCAAGUGCCUCCCGCUUCCCCCUGGAAAUGGACCCCAUGGAAAUGAUGUCCUCCGCCCUGAGUCUGAACGUGAUCAGCACCUCCGACUCGUCCCCCUCGAACAACACCUCCUCCUCCCCCGUCUCCUCCUCCUCCUCCCACCACAGGCAGCCCCUCUGUGUCAUCUCACCCUCCAACAACACCAGUUGCGGAUCUCAAGAGCAUUUCAAUCCUCUAUGAUUGACUUCACUUCGCACUUCUUCUCAUCUCUUCGCUGCAUCGCAUUACCGUACUACUACCACUUCUUCUUCUUCCACUACUACCACUACCACUACUAAUGUCUCCAUACCUAAUCAAACCAAAGAGGAAAAGAUUCCACAAUUGAUGGACAAGUCUCCCACCACUGAUGUUGACACAAGGCCGGUUUCCUGCUAGAUGGGAACAUUUCUCUUUUCUACCCUUUACAUAAUGUCAACUUGAAGAUUUUUUUGCGAAAACAGAGUUUCUCGGCGAAGCAGCUCCAUUUACGUCCACUUGAAUUGUGCAGCACUCGGAGUAACAUCCACAAAAAUUCGGGAGGAAUGAAGCCAUGAGACGGAACUACAUUAACAACAGAAGAAUGAGCCCACGGGUUCUGUGGCUUGAAUUAUUCAAUCCCGGGUUUAAAGGAUCGAUACCCGGUUACAUACGUCGAGAGUUGGCUGUAUUUGUCCCUGUCAGCCCAUUUCCUCCAAAAACAACAAAGCAUCAGUCACCAAAGAAAAUGCAAUGGGCUUCUCAUUCCAAAACCAUACGUUGGAUGAUCACAAUCGCGGAUGGAGUGAUGAUGAUUGCUGUGCGAGUGAAGAUAAUUUACAAGGAUCCGGUGGUGGAGACCCGCAAUUAUAUAAAGUUAAUUGACGCUCAGAUAGAUUUGCACUGUUCUGCAUACUUGUGCUUGAUGCAUAUUUCGAGGAUUUGGUUCAAAGACAGAAUUUAGAUCGGAUUGGCUUUGGAUUAUUCGGCUCAUUUAGAAAAAGCCCUUCUUUCCUGUUAUAUUAAUUAUUGUGUCUAAACGUCUCUGUCUCAAAAGUUUAAAAAAUUUCAGCCCUGGCAAGAUUCGUGUUGUUUUUGGAGCCUUAUCAGCCAAUUUAAAUGAACGAGAAAGGAACUGCUAAAUAUUUACGAGAAACUCGAAGCAAUUUUUCAUUGUCUGUGAUUACAAAGUUUUUUUAAGUUAGAGUUUUAUUAAUUUAACUGCGUAGAUAACCCAUUUUCUAUUGUCUGUAUUAUAUCACAUUGUUAAAACAGUCCAUAAGUAAUAAUAAUAAUGGAAAAGACUACGUAGUUUUAGAAUACAUUUAACAAUAAUAAAAUUAUCCAAGUUGCUUUGAUAAAUGAUUUCCAUGUUUGAGUUCAAGACAAAAUCAAUGUUCUGUAAACGUAAUGAGGAUUCGGAUAGCGUUACAAAAUGUGUAAUUGUAUAAUUCAGCAGCGUUCGUCAUUCCAAAAAAUACGGUUUGUCGAUGGCAUGGCACAAUCCAGUCGAACAAUGUAAAUAAUUUAAUGCGACAAAAUACAUAAGUAGAUUAGAAAUUAUUAUCUUUUUGUAACCAACCUGGCCACGACUGAUUUCCAAAUUUAAACAAAAAUGUAACCUUAUUUAUCUGUCCAGCACUCAAGAACACUCGGAGGUGGAAGAUGUAAUUAUGUAUGUACAACAAACAAAGAUACAAACUUUAGUUUUAAGUAGUUUUCAACAACAACAAAGAUACCAAAUAUUUAGUUUUGUCCCUCUCAAGACAAACGCUGAUAAAAGUAAAAUGAGUUUAAAAAAUAAACUCGAAUGAAAUAAAAGAUGAAAUCAAAAACA